This is a long non-coding RNA of Zingiber officinale, 354 nucleotides long. RefSeq lists it as uncharacterized. The record is from RefSeq and is a predicted model, not a curated record. Lineage: Eukaryota; Viridiplantae; Streptophyta; Magnoliopsida; Zingiberales; Zingiberaceae. The transcript has 3 exons.
AGUUAGUGGUUAUCCUACCUUGAAGUUUUUUCCCAAGGAAAACAAAGCUGGUGAAGAUUAUGAGGCUGAACGGGAGUUGGAUGAUUUUGUUAAAUUUAUUAAUGUGAAAUGUGGCACUAGCCGUGAUGCGAAUGGUCAACUUACUUUCCAGCAACUGCUAUUAUUGAUAGUUUCUCGGAUCUUUUUCGCAAUAAGUAUGCAGUGGAAGACUCAUUGAUUGUGAUGAUUGCUAAGGGACUAAGACCCAUUUUUCUUGGCCUUAUAUUGUGUGCAUCCCAUAGUCGUACGUUCUCUAUACUUAAUGAGUGAUUCGUGCCUCUGGAAAUAUAUAAACACUUGGGCCAUCACGAUGUU